This 484-nucleotide long non-coding RNA is filed under the name Homo sapiens (human). RNAcentral's name for it is "HSALNT0325692". Lineage: Eukaryota; Metazoa; Chordata; Mammalia; Primates; Hominidae. The record is from RNAcentral.
AGUGCCUAUUGGAGGAAGACAAAGUCAAAAACCCUAUCAUGAACAAUCCUAAGGAGAGACCAACAUGGCAAAGAAGAAAAGCCUCCUGCCAACAAUCGUACGAGUGAACUUGGAAGUUGAUUAUGCCACCACAGUUGAACAUUGAGAUGAGUGCAGCCUCAGGCAAUGGACGUGACUGCAACCUUGGGACAGACCUUGAACCAAACCACCCAGAUACUAUGUUUAUUCGGAAUUGGUGGUUUCUGACAACCCUACAUGAGGAAUUCUGUUGACACCAUGUUUCCAACAGGAUGUGAUCACUUUGUAUCUUUGUCACAUUUUGAGACAGUGUUUUGUCAUAUUUUCCAGACUGGUCUUGGACCCCUGAGCUCAAGCCAUCUGCCCACCUUGGCUCCCCAAAAUACUGGUAUUCCAGGUGUGAGCCACUGGCCCAGCCCAGGUGAUACUUAAAGGUAAAAUUAUGAUGAGUCAAGCUGUGCUGAAG